UAAACCGAAAUCUGAAGAAUAAAAUACACAACCAACCAAAAGAUAGGUAUCCGAGUUCGAAAGGAGGCUCAAAGUCUAUUGGCAAAACAGGGACAUGCCACUGAAAACAAUUACCACAUUGCAAUGUUCACCACAACACAACACAUGCAAAUGCACAAAUGAAGCUACCAACUUCCUUGCCUAACAGAUUUGUAAAACAACAAACACAAGGUGAUACCUUCUGGAGGCUAUCAAUAUAUUAUUAUACUCAACCUCCACCAACAAUUUAACAGCAGCUACUCGGAUAGAACUCUUCAAGAUACUGUUUUCUAAUCCUCAUCAUCAUCAUCAUCAUCAUCACCAUCUUCUUUGUUCUUCUUGAGGCGGGUUGUACCACCCUCCUUACUAAUGGGCAACUUCAUUGCUCCAAAAGGUGUAUCCACAUUAAUAUGUCCUUUCAUAGUGUAACCAGUGCCUUUUCCUCUAAUCAUGUCCCAAAGUGCAGAGCCAAAGUCCUUAGGCCUGAAGGUGAUGGGAAUAUCAAUGUAACUAAUUCCAUUUUUGUCAAUUUUGGUAGAUUUGGCUAGUUCUGCACCCCCAAUGCUUACAUCAGAUAGCCAAACUUCAUAGUCUAAUCCAUUAAGGCCCAAGUCAAAAUCAUUCUUGUUUUCUAACUUCAAAUGAAGCAUAGCAACAGUUUCUUCAAAGGAAAACCUCUCAAAGUGUAUUUUCUCAAGAUCAAUAUCAGGCUUGUAAGGUAUCGGAAUCUCUCCAGUUUUCUCAAGAGGUAGAGUUAGCCUUCCAAAGACCGGAACAUCUACAAUGAGAUCAACCUUAAUCCUGUAUGGAAUGAUACUUCCAGGCUUAAUAUCAUUGUAUGUGCUUCUUAUAUCGUCAUAAAUCAAAGUAACUGGUAUUUUGACAGUCUCCUCGCCAUGUGCAUGAAUAGUUCCAGCAUCUGGUAUUAAGCCUGAAACAAGUUUCCGUCCAUCACUCUCAAUUAAGUAGUUGAUGUCAAUGAGAGGGAUUGGAAUAGGAUUGGGGUUCUUAACAAGCACAUCAACAACAAGAUCUGCCUUCUCUAGAUUGAUUGAAGGGAUAUGAAUCCCUGUAACAUCUGCAGUUGGCUUGCCAAAACCAAUAGCUCCCUCAAUCUUUUCACCAAUGUCAUGAAUGAAGUCCUUUACCUUGUCGAUAAAUCCACCCUUAUCCUCAUCCUCGUUGUGAUCUUUCUCCUUGACAUCUCUAUCAAUGACUUCUGGCUUAUCAGAAGAUGCCAUAUCUGAGAAGCUUGAGCGAUGGAAGCAGCUGAUCUUGGUAGAGAGUGUAGCGUGUGAAAAGGAGAGGAG
This 1328-nucleotide unclassified non-coding RNA is filed under the name Hevea brasiliensis (rubber tree). The record is from RNAcentral. Lineage: Eukaryota; Viridiplantae; Streptophyta; Magnoliopsida; Malpighiales; Euphorbiaceae.